CUGGCGGGCACUGACCAGCGAGAGCCGGCGGCGGCGUUAAACCGCGGGCCCGCCAAAGCAACAAGGUUGGUACACAGAGGGUUGGA
RNAcentral lists this ribosomal RNA (86 nucleotides) under [Coniosporium] sp. SL110414. RNAcentral describes it as "Coniosporium sp. SL110414 partial 28S ribosomal RNA". Lineage: Eukaryota; Fungi; Ascomycota; Eurotiomycetes; Chaetothyriales; Herpotrichiellaceae. The record is from RNAcentral.